Molecule: long non-coding RNA, 543 nt
Filed under: Mytilus galloprovincialis (Mediterranean mussel)
Lineage: Eukaryota; Metazoa; Mollusca; Bivalvia; Mytilida; Mytilidae
Source: RNAcentral
GUCUUUGGCUCGUUUUCACAUUUUGUAAACAUGACUUCAGCGAUUUGUUGUUAUGUUCUAUGAAUUAAUGGUACUCUAUACUGUUAUUCUUGUCACAGUGAUGAAGUUAUAAUAAUACAAGAAGUGCAGAGGAAAUGCCUGAAAUGUCCUCUGAUACGGAACGUCUAAAAUAAGUAUGGUAUCGACGAAGACCCAAAUUUAAUAUACAAAAAAAAACCAUGAACAUGAACAAGGCAACAGUACCAGUUUAAACAUUGUAAAUAAAGGUUGACUAAAAUAUUGUUGGGGUUGGAAGAAGUUAUUGUAUAUUUAUUGAAAUUGCAAUUAUAAAAUCACAGGAACAAUAUCCAUGAUUGUAUUUAAAAUCAUAAAGGUAAGUAUCAACACCUCUUUGCCAAAAUAUACUGAUAAUUUUUUUUUACAGAAGUCAAUUAAAAUGGCCCACUCAUUUGACAACAUGGCCCAUUAUUUUUUAAAAUGGCCCAUUGAAUUUAUUUUUGAGGGGCCUUGGGCCCAUAGUGAAAAAAACCUUCCAGAUCACUG